AAAAAGUAUUUACAGUAAGUGAGAAUGCAUCUGACAAGGACAAUCUCCUGUUGUGUGCUACAUUUGUUAAAAGGGAAACUCCAGACUAUAUCAGGACC
Etheostoma cragini (Arkansas darter) is the source of this 98-nucleotide long non-coding RNA. RefSeq lists it as uncharacterized. The record is from RefSeq and is a predicted model, not a curated record. Lineage: Eukaryota; Metazoa; Chordata; Actinopteri; Perciformes; Percidae. The transcript has 3 exons.